ACGAACGCUGGCGGCGUGCUUAACACAUGCAAGUCGAACGGAAAGGCCCUGCUUUUGUGGGGUGCUCGAGUGGCGAACGGGUGAGUAACACGUGAGUAACCUGCCCUUGACUUUGGGAUAACUUCAGGAAACUGGGGCUAAUACCGGAUAGGAGCUCCUGCUGCAUGGUGGGGGUUGGAAAGUUUCGGCGGUUGGGGAUGGACUCGCGGCUUAUCAGCUUGUUGGUGGGGUAGUGGCUUACCAAGGCUUUGACGGGUAGCCGGCCUGAGAGGGUGACCGGCCACAUUGGGACUGAGAUACGGCCCAGACUCCUACGGGAGGCAGCAGUGGGGAGUAUUGCACAAUGGGCGGAAGCCUGAUGCAGCAACGCCGCGUGCGGGAUGGCGGCCUUCGGGUUGUAAACCGCUUUCGCCUGUGACGAAGCGUGAGUGACGGUAAUGGGUAAAGAGGCACCGGCUAACUACGUG
RNAcentral lists this ribosomal RNA (467 nucleotides) under uncultured bacterium. RNAcentral describes it as "partial 16S ribosomal RNA". It matches the Rfam family "Bacterial small subunit ribosomal RNA", at positions 29 to 507 of the family's 1533-position model. The record is from RNAcentral.